This is an RNA transcript of Xenopus laevis (African clawed frog), 3076 nucleotides long. It is a transcript of the gene named cyclin E2 L homeolog, with no coding region annotated. NCBI's taxonomy places the organism in Eukaryota, Metazoa, Chordata, Amphibia, Anura, Pipidae. The record is from RefSeq and is marked provisional. The transcript has 13 exons.
CGGUAUUGGUAGUCAGUCAUUGAGAGGCGCGCAUGCGCGGACUUGAGCUGUAUAAAGCGGCUUGGCGCCAGCUGAUCAGCUGAAACCCGGUCUAGGCACUGACUGCUUCUGUUCUUUGCUGGUGGAAGUUUCCUCAAUUUGGUAUAAUGUCAAGAAGAAGUGGCCGUCUACAAGCAAGGCAUGAAAGCGCUGAGACUGGGAACGACUGCCAACUUGCAGUUGCAACAAAGAAACGCAAAUCUGAGGAAACUAGCACAACAUUUGAAUGCCACCAGGACGCAAAACGACACAACUAUGAAAUCCAGGGCUGCUGGUCAGAGAUCACUACAGGAACAGUGACUCCUUGUAUUCUCAUAGAAACGCCACACAAAGAAAUGCCAGUCUCCACCGACCUAUCACAGUUCUCCCGAUACAGGUUCAAGAAUCUCUUCAUCAGCCGAUCCCCUCUGCCAGAGCUAAGCUGGGGCAAUUCAAAGGAUGUGUGGAUGAAGAUGAUAAGCAAAGAGUCGAGAUAUGUGCAUUCUAGCCGUCUUCUACAAAAUCAUCCCACGUUGAACCCAGACAUGAGGUCUAUUCUGCUGGACUGGCUCAUAGAGGUAUCCGAGGUCUACACGCUACACAGAGAAACCUUUUACCUAGCCCAGGAUUUCUUUGAUAGAUUUAUGCUGACCCAAACCUGUGUGAACAAAAGUAUGCUUCAGCUUAUAGGAGUUACGGCACUAUUUAUUGCUUCUAAAUUAGAGGAGAUCUACCCGCCAAAACUUUAUGAAUUUGCAUACGUCACCGAUGGUGCCUGCACUGAAGAUGAUAUUCUUCAAAUGGAGCUCAUAAUAUUAAAGGCUUUGAAGUGGGAAUUGUGUCCUGUAACUGCCAUUUCAUGGCUGAACCUGUACCUGCAAGUGUCUUCUCUUAAAGAUCAUCCAAAACUGCUGUUACCUCAGUAUUCUCAGGAGCAGUUUAUUCAUGUUGCUCAGCUUCUAGACAUGUGUAUUCUACACCAUACCUCGCUUGAAUUCCAGUACAGGAUCUUGGCGGCUGCUGCUUUAUACCACUGUACCUCCAUAGAAGUUGUUACCAAAGCUACUGGUCUCGACAUGGACAGCAUCAGUGAAUGUGUUCAUUGGAUGACUCCUUUUGCGAGUGUUGUGAAGAAAAGUUUCCCAUUAAAGCUGAAAGUGUUUAAGAGGAUAUCACCAGAAGAUAUGCACAAUAUCCAGACCCACACCAACUACAUUGAUAUGCUGGAUGAUGUAAAGAUUCCAGAUCGUGUUGUGGGUGAGUCUCCUGUGUUCAUUGGUGGUAUCCUCACCCCUCCCAAGAGUACGGAAAAGACUUUCUAAAUGAAAGCUAGUGGAGCUCCUCUCCCUCAUCUCAAGGUGCAGCUGUUAAUACUGGAAACGCAGGAAGCCUUAUGUUGUGACAAACUCUGCCUGGAUCUUACCUAUAUUUUAACUGUUUUAUAAACUUACUCUGCAUUAGAACUGAUUUUGUAGCUUCAAGGUUGCUAACUUAUUUAUUGCAAUGGGAUUUCCCCUUUACGUGGGCUGUUCACUGCCUGCCUUUCUGGGGAUGGCCAAACCUUUUUACUAAGGUUACUAUUACAGAAUUGCUGAUUACUGCAGUUUCUGGUUGGUUAAGAUGUUUCUUAAGGUGAAUGCAGCACCUUGUUCUAUAGAAUUGAUGUUGAUUUGACCAACCCCCUGCAUUCCUGGACAGCUGUGAUUUUGAUGCUGGGGUUUGUAGUUCACCAACCAGAGGAAUCCUGUUUUGGAUACUGCCAAUUUUCCCACUUCUUAAAAAGAGCACAUUUGGUUUUGUUGGAUCUAGAGCCUCUUAAAGAGGAGCUGUGCAAAUCUAUUAAACAAACAAUGUUAAUACAGCAUUAUUAUAUUUUUUUUAUAUAUAAAGAAAUUUAUUUUGAAUUGUGGACAUUUUGUAGAAAAAAUUGCAUAGUUAAUUGUAUGUUGCUUCCACCUCAAUGGUAGAAUUUUUGUGCCAGGCUUUGAGCUCAGAUAUGGGCUAGACUACCUGUGGGUUGUUCACCUUUAAAUUUAAAUGACCUCCACUUGAAAGCAAAUAAAUACAAAAACCAAUUGAAAUGUUGCUUAGAAUUAGCCAUUCUACAACAUACUAAAAAGGUAGCUUUAAAGCUGAACGACCCCUAUAAGCUAUGGCACAUGGUGCUGUUCUUAAGCAUUUGGGUGACGAAACUUGGAAUUGCUUCCUAUUCAGUGUCACUAGGAAAUGCUUGACUGCCCCUAAUAUGAGGAUAUACCAUGUAACUGUAUUUACUGAAGCGGAAUACUAUUUUCCAUGUCAAUGAAAUGUUACUAUUUAUUUGGAAGUUGCUUAAAACCCAACAGCUUCAAUCUCUUGUAUACAUGUAACGUACUAGAAGCAAAACAAAAACCCUAGCAGUUUAGAAUUCAUCCUUUAGCCUAGUGUAAGUAAGGAAAUGUAGUAACUUAUUAAAUGGGAGUAUUGAGGAUAGUAACUGCACUGAUCUCUCUUCUCCUUUCAGCCACAAUGGUGUAAAUGUCUAAAUUAUUUAUUACUGUGAAUAGUAUGAAAUUACAAGCAUGGGGUGGCAAAAAGAUAACGUUCAAUUGACAGACAUUGAAAUGAACUGCUAACUGGGCUUUUUCACUGUGAAUUUUAUGGCUUCGGAUGUCCUUCCUAUUCCAGUACACGAGGGUUGUCUUCUAGUUCCACCAUUAUAUUGUGAAACCAAUUCAUGGGAUUUUUAGAGCCGUAUUUAUCAAUGGCGAGUUCUAAUUUUCACCCAUUGAGAAUAUCCUUCUAAAAAAAUCCCAUAGGAAUGAACAGAACAUGGGUGAGUUGUUUAUUAAAAUCUGAACUCGCCUUUUGAUAAAUCUGCCCCUUAAUGUUGCAGUAGGAACUUCUACAUUCUGUAUCUGUCUUCAUUGGAAGACUUUUUUUUUUUUAUAAACCUCUGUAUAUUUCUGUAAAUGAGUUGUGUACAUUAUAAAGAACUGCAUUUUUUUUAAAAAGCAAUAUGGUGUACAUAUGUGUAAAUAUGUAUUGUACAAAUAAAGACCAAGUUCACUUUUUGUAA